Molecule: long non-coding RNA, 1135 nt
Filed under: Anas platyrhynchos platyrhynchos (common mallard)
Lineage: Eukaryota; Metazoa; Chordata; Aves; Anseriformes; Anatidae
Description: lncRNA (ENSAPLG00000022735.1)
Source: RNAcentral
AUGGGUUUGCUGAAAACCAAGUCUUGUGGCACCUGGCCACAAUCCACACAAGAAGAAAACACCAGAGGCAAAGAGGCCGGCGCCCAUGGUGACCGCAGAACCAGGUGGGGAGUUACUCCCUUGGGAGCCCAAACCCCGGGCUGCAUGGUGCUGCUACUCCUGCCCCUGUGGAGACUGAGAAAUUCUGUGUUCCUGCAGCAUUUCACCGCACUGGUCUCGCAGAGGUCACCGCCAGCCUUGCCACAUGAACCCAACACACACAGGACGACCUCUGCUGCUACUUGGGUGCCACACAGGUGUUAAGAGUAGUAGGUAUCAGUUCAACGCCAUGCUUUCAACAAAAGUACCUGCGAACUCCCAAGCCUUUCCCAUCACUUCAAGUUGAAAAGGAACAACCUAUUUUUCAUGGUACCUCUAAAACACCAUCUGAUUAAAUAUCUCCAGAAAGCUUGAGCUGAAAGUCAUGUAGGCUCUACAAACUCUCCAUAUUCUCGUAAAUGAAAAGCAAAGCUCCUCAAAGGGCCUAGCAGCAUUUCUGUUUGGCUCAAUGAAAAUGGGUUUUCAUGGUGAAGGUGUCAGGAUUCAAGGUAAAAGAGAAGUCAUGGGAAUGAAGUAGGAGGCCUGGAGUAAGCAGUCUACAGAGUAAUUCCUUUCACGCCACCUGCCACCUACGUAAACCCAUCCCACUGACCAGACUCUGGAGAAAGUAAAACCAUCUGGAAACAGUAUUCCAAAACUAGGCAGCACAGAGAUAGAUAUUUAUCUGAAACCAUUAGAAAUGCCUCAUUUUUCAAAUGUCAGAUGAUAAGGCCAAACCUAAGGCCAAAACAGCUAUUCCAGGGCUGCUAUGCACCAUAAUACUGAACACCAUGAAACUGGCAGUAUGAUUUGGCACUGAAAAUUAUCACUUUGCAAUACUCUCAGAUUGAAAGAAAACCUGAACAACAGAAAAGAAAAGCACUCUUUACUGCACAUCAUCUCAUUACUUUAACCUAGAGUAAUCCAAACUCUUCUGUUUCAGACUGCUCUGUAUGGAGCAGUCAGGCCAGGCAGUGCCAUUCUGCAUCUGCACAAAUCACCAGUUUUUACCCCCCAAAAUAGAGGUGAAAAGGUGGAUGGCUGAGCAAGUCAGGAG